This 216-nucleotide unclassified non-coding RNA is filed under the name Hevea brasiliensis (rubber tree). The record is from RNAcentral. Lineage: Eukaryota; Viridiplantae; Streptophyta; Magnoliopsida; Malpighiales; Euphorbiaceae.
UUAGCAAGACUCUCCUGUAUGUGGUUACAUUGUCACACCGACCAGAAGAUUCCGAAUCAGAAGCUGACUCCAGAGAGCAAGCAGCUGGAAAGUUUCACUGUAGAUAUACAUGUGUUUUCUUAAGUUAAUAAGUUGUACAUAUAUUUCCUCUGUAUAUGUAAAGAUGCUAUAAGCUAAGGUGUCUACUUUUUCAGCUUUCUCUACCAAAAAACCUCG